UCCCUUUGGCAGCACAUGUACUAAAAUUGGAACGAUACAGAGAAGAUUAGCAUGGCCCCUGAAAGAGGAUGACACACAAAUUCGUGUUCCAUAUUUUU
RNAcentral lists this small nuclear RNA (98 nucleotides) under Microcebus murinus (gray mouse lemur). Lineage: Eukaryota; Metazoa; Chordata; Mammalia; Primates; Cheirogaleidae. The record is from RNAcentral.